UCCGUAGGUGAACUGCGGAAGGAUCAUG
Molecule: ribosomal RNA, 28 nt
Filed under: Hydnophytum moseleyanum
Lineage: Eukaryota; Viridiplantae; Streptophyta; Magnoliopsida; Gentianales; Rubiaceae
Description: partial 18S rRNA
Source: RNAcentral